AUGCCGCGUGUGUGAAGAAGGCCCUCGGGUUGUAAAGCACUUUCAGCGAGGAAGAACGCCUAGUGGUUAAUACCCGUUAGGAAAGACAUCACUCGCAGAAGAAGCACCGGCUAACUCCGUGCCAGCAGCCGCGGUAAUACGGAGGGUGCAAGCGUUAAUCGGAAUUACUGGGCGUAAAGCGCGCGUAGGUGGCUUGAUAAGCCGGUUGUGAAAGCCCCGGGCUCAACCUGGGAACGGCAUCCGGAACUGUCAGGCUAGAGUGCAGGAGAGGAAGGUAGAAUUCCCGGUGUAGCGGUGAAAUGCGUAGAGAUCGGGAGGAAUACCAGUGGCGAAGGCGGCCUUCUGGACUGACACUGACACUGAGGUGCGAAAGCGUGGGUAGCAAACAGGAUUAGAUACCCUGGUAGUCCACGCCGUAAACGAUGUCGACCAGCCGUUGGGUGCCUAGAGCACUUUGUGGCGAAGUUAACGCGAUAAGUCGACCGCCUGGGGAGUACGGCCGCAAGGUUAAAACUCAAG
Molecule: ribosomal RNA, 519 nt
Filed under: Vreelandella neptunia
Lineage: Bacteria; Pseudomonadati; Pseudomonadota; Gammaproteobacteria; Oceanospirillales; Halomonadaceae
Description: bacterial SSU rRNA
Rfam family: Bacterial small subunit ribosomal RNA
Source: RNAcentral